Molecule: transfer RNA, 82 nt
Filed under: Mixta calida
Lineage: Bacteria; Pseudomonadati; Pseudomonadota; Gammaproteobacteria; Enterobacterales; Erwiniaceae
Description: tRNA-Lys
Rfam family: tRNA
About the family: Transfer RNA (tRNA) molecules are approximately 80 nucleotides in length.
Source: RNAcentral
GGGUGAUUAGCUCAGUUGGUAGAGCACCUCCCGUUGACUUUUAAUCAAUUGGUCGCAGGUUCGAAUCCUGCACGACCCACCA